AGAGAGAAACUGGCAUGCUUGAAAAGCGUGGCUAGUUAGUUUUUCAAUGGUCACCUUUUUAAAGCGUGCCCAUAUCUUAUGUUUAUUUGGGCACCUUACAAAAGCGUACCGAUAGAGUUCCCUCCUUCCAAAAUUUAGUUUUCCACCCAUUUUUUUCACACUUCACUUUUUUUUUCUAAGUUUUAUGUUUUAACCUAGACUAGAAGUGUUGGUUUCGAAAAUCACUUCUCACCCUAUCUGGCGUCACUCACCCUUCUCAUCUCUAAACCCUAACUCCCUCUCCCAACAACGCCGCUGUCUCCCUCUCUCAACCCGUCACAACCCCUCCCUCCAACCCGUCGCAGCACCUACAUCCAUCCCUCCCUUGUCGCUCAUGCCCCACGCCGCCGUCUCCCUCUCUCACGCGUGGCGCCAACCAUCAGUACCACUCGUCAGCGCAACUCAUCAGCGCCACUCGUCAGCGGCAACCUGUCAGCGCCAACCGUCAUUCUGCUAGUGCCGACAUCUUUUGUGUUUAUAAGAAAUGAUUGGUGGCAUCUCCGUCGAGCUUGGCGUCGGAUGCAUCGCUGGCGUCAGCGGUAAAGAUUCGAUUCAUGGUUUAGAGUUUCUCUGAAGUCGCUGCUUGAAAGGUUCGAUUUCUUGCCCCUCGUCUUGCUUGAAACCAUCGUGAAGAAUUGCGAGAAGGCUUUCUCUGAAGUCGCUGCUGAGAGGGUUCUUGAUGAUAUGGUUAGGUUAAUUGACGAUCCUCAAACUGUUUUAAUAACCGCAACAAGGCUUUGAUCAUGAUUGAGGCUUGAGGCGAAUCCACCAUCGAGCUUCACUAUCUCCCUGUUUACGAAGAAACUUACAAGGUACUACUACCUUUUUUUUCCUAUUUCAUGCAUAUCUGCUUCAUUGUUAAGUUGAAGUCAAGGGACAAUUUCUGAUAAUCAUAUCAUGCCUAGAAACUCAAAAUCCUAGGCUAAAUUGAUUGGGUUAGUUACUAGCUCUAGCUGUUGAAUUUGCUAGUGUGGGUUAUUAUUAGUGUUAUUGUUGAUUGCUUGUUUCCAUUUUGUGGUUGAGUCUGAAAUCAAAGGGUAUUCGGUUCCCUGGCUGUCACAACGAGAGCUUGGCGCCUAUUUUCACUCCUCCGCGUUCGGUGUCUGAGGUUGAACUUGAUCUUCCACGCCAGACUCAGCAUAAUGAUAUUCCUGUGCAGAGUUUUACUCCUAAACAAACUAAGGAAGCUUUUGAUGUUGCUAGAAACAGCAUUGAACUUCUUUCUACUGUGUUGUCUUCUCCACAACAAGAUGUCUUGCAGUAAAGAAGAGAUUGCUCUUUUUUCCUAUCAACAAGGAUGUCUGGGUAUGGAUCUCUCCUAUUUCAAUCUGGGUAAAGAGUGUUGGUGUUCUGAUCUAGCUUGGUACCAAAUCCAACGCGUAUGAGUGAAGAAGGUCCUGUUUUACUUUGCUUUUGUGCAAGUUGAACUGGUUGCUCCUGCGUAGUUGUGAAGGAUUUUGGAGAAGAACAUGAAGCCUAUAAUGUCCUUCAGCACGUUAAAGCUCAAUGAGUAAGAAGAAUGGGAAGUAAAGAAACUGCAUUGAUAGUCAUGCAUGAAGAAUAUAAAAUCCUCAAGUGCUACAAAAAUGAUAGAAGUUCUUCCAAGAGGGCCAUCUCCUUUCUCUAAAGCACAAUGCUGUGAGCUACAAGAUUCAGCAUCAUGAGUUCUUGCUUAUAAACUGCGAAACUCAACAAUAUUAUGUUUGGAUUAUUGAUAUUUAUUUUUUAAUUUUUUUAUUUUCUACACAAAAAAUGACAGAGAUAGAAUAAGUUAAUGACUUUUAAUAAGUUGUAUAUGUAUUGAUAUUUUUUAUCCCACUGUAUUUUAUAACUACUUUGGUUAUAAGAGAUUGAUAUAGCUAAUUUGGUUUGAA
Arachis ipaensis is the source of this 1913-nucleotide non-coding RNA. NCBI's taxonomy places the organism in Eukaryota, Viridiplantae, Streptophyta, Magnoliopsida, Fabales, Fabaceae. The record is from RefSeq and is a predicted model, not a curated record.